Molecule: ribosomal RNA, 253 nt
Filed under: uncultured bacterium
Lineage: Bacteria
Description: partial 16S ribosomal RNA
Rfam family: Bacterial small subunit ribosomal RNA
Source: RNAcentral
GACAGAGGAUGCAAGCGUUAUCCGGAAUGAUUGGGCGUAAAGCGUCUGUAGGUGGCUUUUUAAGUCCGCCGUCAAAUCCCAGGGCUCAACCCUGGACAGGCGGUGGAAACUACCAAGCUGGAGUACGGUAGGGGCAGAGGGAAUUUCCGGUGGAGCGGUGAAAUGCGUAGAGAUCGGAAAGAACACCAAUGGCGAAGGCAGCUCGCUGGGACGGUACUGACGCUGAGGCGCGAAAGCGUGGGGAGCAAACAGG